UUGGGGCUAGGGUAAGGUUUAAGGUUUUUGGUGUUAGGGUUUAAAUCACUGUCCAAAACCUUUGUAGGAAGUCUUUUCCAACCUUUUGGAGUUAGUUAGACAAAAAAAAAAAGAUAAAUGAAAAAAAAAUACUUGGGGUGUUCGGGCUUCCUGAAGGUAUUAGGUUAUGGGGCUAGGGUAAGGUUUAAGGUUUUUGGCGUUAGGGUUAAAAUAACUGUCCAAAACCUUUUUAGGAACAUGUUUCAGACCUUUUGGAGUUGGUUACACCAAAAGAAAUGUAAAAUGAAAAAAAAAUUUUUUUGGGUGUUCGGGCUUCCUGAAGGUAAUACUUUGUAUUACCUUUGUAGGAAGUCUUUUCCAACCUUUUGGAGUUAGUCUUUUGUAGGAAGUCUUUUCCAACCUUUUGGAGUUAGUUAGACAAAAAAAAAAGAUAAAUGAAAAAAAAAUAUUUGGGGUGUUCGGGCUUCCUGAAGGUAAUACCCGGGUAUUAGGUUAUGGGGCUAGGGUAAGGUUUAAGGUUUUUGGCGUAAGGGUUAAAAUCACUGUCCAAAACCUUUUUAGGAACAUGUUUCAGACCUUUUGGAGUUGGUUACACCAAAAAAAAUGUAAAAUGAAAAAAAAAAUUUUUUGGGUGUUCGGGCUUCCUGAAGGUAAUACUAGGUUAUGGGGCUAGGGUAAUGUUUAAGGUUUUUGGUGUUAGGGUUAAAAUCAAUGUCCAAAACCUUUGUAGGAACUCUUUUUCAACCUUUGAGAGCAAGUUAGACCAAAACAAAAAGAAAAAUAAAAAAUAUAUAUUUGGGGUGUUCGGGCUUCCUGAAGGUAAUACCCGGGUAUUAGGUUUUGGGGCUAGGGUUAGGUUUAAGGUUUUUGGCGUUAGGGUAAAAAUAACUGUCCAAUAUUUUUUAAGGAACAUGUUUCAGACCUUUGGGAGUUAGUUAGACAAAAAAAAGAAAAAAAAAAAAUAUAUAUUUGGGGUGUUCGGGUUUCCUGAAGGUAAUACCCGGGUAUUAGGUUUUGGGGCUAGGGUAAGGUUUAAGGUUUUUGGUGUUAGGGUUAAAAUCACUGUCCAAAACCUUUGUAGGAACUCUUUUCCAACCUUUUGGAGUUAGUUAGACCAAAAAAAAAAAAAAAAUGAAAGAAAUUUAUUUGGGGUCUUCGGGCUUCCUGAAAGAAAUACCCAGGUAUUAGGUUAUGGGGCUAGGGUAAGGUUUAAGGUUUUUGGCGUUAGGGUUAAAAUCACUGUCCAAAACCUUUUUAGGAACAUGUUUCAGACCUUUUGGAGUUGGUUACACCAAAAAAAAAUGUAAAAUGAAAAGAAAAUAUUUGGGGUGUUCAAGCUUCCUGAAGGUAAUACCCGAGUAUUAGGUUAUGGGGCUAUAGUAAGGUUUAAGGUUUUUGGCGUUAGGGUUAAAAUCACUGUCCAAAACCUUUUUAGGAACUAUUUUCCAACCUUUUGGAGUUAGCUAGACCAAAAAAAAAAUGAAAAAUGAAAAAAAAUAUAUUUGGGGUUUUUGGGUUACUGAAGGUAAUACCCGGGUAUUAGGUUUUGGGGCUAGGGUUAGGUUUAAGGUUUUUGGCGUAAGGGUUAAAAUCACUGUCCAAUAUUUUUUAAGGAACAUCUUUCAGACCUCUGGGAGUUAGUUAGACAAAAAAAAAAAGAAAAAGAAAAAAAAAAUUUGGGGUGUUCGGGCUUCCUGAAGGUAAUACCCGGGUAUUAGGUUUUGGGGCUAGGAUUAGGUUUAAGGUUUUUGGCGUUAGUGUUAAAAUCACCGUCCAAAACCUUUGUAGGAACUCUUUUCAGACCUUUUGGAGUUAGUUAGACCAAAAAAAAAAAAAAAAUGAAAAAAAAAUAUUUGGGGUCUUCGGGCUUCCUGAAGGAAAUACCCAGGUAUUAGGUUUUGGGGCUAGGGUAAGGUUUAAGGUUUUUGGUGUUAGGGUUAAAAUCACUGUCCAAAACCUUUUUAGGAACAUGUUUCAGACCUGUUGGAGUAGGCUACACCAAAAAAAAAUGUAAAAUGAAAAGAAAAUAUUUGGGGUGUUCAAGCUUCCUGAAGGUAAUACCCGGGUAUUAGGUUAUGGGGCUAUAGUAAGGUUUAAGGUUUUUGGCGUUAGGGUUAAAAUCACUGUCCAAAACCUUUGUAGGAACUAUUUUCCAACCUUUUGGAGUUAGUUAGACCAAAAAAAAAAACGAAAAAUGAAAAAAAAUAUUUGGGGUUUUCGGGCUUACUGAAGGUAAUACCCGGGUAUUAGGUUUUGGGGCUAGGGUUAGGUUUAAGGUUUUUGGCGUCAGGGUUAAAAUCACUGUCCAAUAUUUUUUAAGGAACAUCUUUCAGACCUCUGGGAGUUAGUUAGACAAAAAAAAAAGAAAAAGAAAAAAAAAAUUGGGGUGUUCGGGCUUCCUGAAGGUAAUACCCGGGUAUUAGGUUUUGGGGCUAGGGUUAGGUUUAAGGUUUUUGGCGUUAGGGUUAAAAUCACUGUCCAAAACCUUUGUAGGAACUCUUUUCCAACCUUUGGGAAUUAGUUAGACAAAAAAAAAAAAGAUAAAUGAAAAAAAAAUAUUUGGGGUGUUCGGGCUUCCUGAAGGUAAUACUUUGUAUUACCUUUGUAGGAAGUCUUUUCCAACCUUUUGGAGUUAGUCUUUUGUAGGAAGUCUUUUCCAACCUUUUGGAGUUAGUUAGACAAAAAAAAAAAAGAUAAAUGAAAAAAAAAUAUUUGGGGUGUUCGGGCUUCCUGAAGGUAAUACCCGGGUAUUAGGUUAUGGGGCUAGGGUAAGGUUCAAGGUUUUUGGCGUAAGGGUUAAAAUCACUGUCCAAAACCUUUUUAGGAACAUGUUUCAGACCUUUUGGAGUUGGUUACACCAAAAGAAAUGUAAAAUGAAAAAAAAAUUUUUUUGGGUGUUCGGGCUUCCUGAAGGUAAUACUUUGUAUUACCUUUGUAGGAAGUCUUUUCCAACCUUUUGGAGUUAGUCUUUUGUAGGAAGUCUUUUCCAACCUUUUGGAGUUAGUUAGACAAAAAAAAAAAGAUAAAUGAAAAAAAAAUAUUUGGGGUGUUCGGGCUUCCUGAAGGUAAUACCCGGGUAUUAGGUUAUGGGGCUAGGGUAAGGUUUAAGGUUUUUGGCGUAAGGGUUAAAAUCACUGUCCAAAACCUUUUUAGGAACAUGUUUCAGACCUUUUGGAGUUGGUUACACCAAAAAAAAUGUAAAAUGAAAAAAAAAUUUUUUGGGGUGUUCGGGCUUCCUGAAGGUAAUACUAGGUUUCUGGGCUAGGGUAAUGUUUAAGGUUUUUGGCGUUAGGGUUAAAAUCAAUGUCCAAAACCUUUGUAGGAACUCUUUUCCAACCUUUGAGAGCAAGUUAGACCAAAAAAAAAAAGAAAAAUAAAAAAUAUAUAUUUGGGGUGUUCGGGCUUCCUGAAGGUAAUACCCGGGUAUUAGGUUUUGGGGCUAGGGUUAGGUUUAAGGUUUUUGGCGUUAGGGUUAAAAUCACUGUCCAAAACCUUUGUAGGAACUCUUUUCCAACCUUUGGGAAUUAGUUAGACAAAAAAAAAAAAGAUAAAUGAAAAAAAAAUAUUUGGGGUGUUCGGGCUUCCUGAAGGAAAUACCCGGGUAUUAGGUUUUGGGGCUAGGGUUAGGUUUAAGGUUUUUGGCGUUAGGGUUAAAAUAACUGUCCAAUAUUUUUUAAGGAACAUGUUUCAGACCUUUGGGAGUUAGUUAGACAAAAAAAAAAGAAAAAGAAAAAAAAAUAUUUGGGGUGUUCGGGUUUCAUGAAGGUAAUACCCGGGUAUUAGGUUAUGGGGCUAGGGUAAGGUUUAAGGUUUUUGGCGUUAGAGUUAAAAUCAGUGUCCAAAACCUUUUAAGGAACAUGUUUAAGACCUUUUGGAGUUUGUUACACCAAAAAAAAUGUAAAAUGAAAAAAAAAAUAUGUGGGGUGUUCGGGCUUCCUGAAGGUAAUACCCGGGUAUUAGGUUUUGGGGCUAGGGUAAGGUUUAAGGUUUUUGGUGUUAGGGUUAAAAUCACUGUCCAAAACCUUUGUAGGAACUCUUUUCCAACCUUUUGGAGUUAGUUAGACCAAAAAAAAAAAAAAAUGAAAAAAAUAUAUUUGGGGUCUUCGGGCUUCCUGAAGGUAAUACCCGGGUAUUAGGUUAUGGGGCUAGGGUAAGGUUUAAGGUUUUUCAGCGUGAGGGUAAAAAUCACUGUCCAAAACCUUUGUAGGAACUCUUUUCCAACCUUUGGGAAUUAGUUAGACAAAAAAAAUAAGAUAAAUGAAAAAAAAAUUUUUGGGGUGUUCGGGCUUCCUGAACGUAAUACCCGGGUAUUAGGUUUUGGGGCUAGGGUAAGGUUUAAGGUUUUUGGUGUUAGGGUUAAAAUAACUGUCCAAAACCUUUGUAGGAACUCUUUUCCAACCUUUUGGAGUUAGUUAGACCAAAAAAAAAAAUAAAGAAAAAAAUAUAUUUGGGGUCUUCGGGCUUCCUGAAGGAAAUACCCAGGUAUUAGGUUAUGGGGUUAGGGUAUGGUUUAAGGUUUUUGGCGUUAGGGUUAAAAUCACUGUCCAAAACCUUUUUAGGAACAUGUUUCAGACCUUUUGGAGUUGGUAACACCAAAAAAAAAUGUAAAAUAAAAAAAAAUAUUUGGGGUGUUCAAGCUUGCUGAAGGUAAUACCCGGGUAUUAGGUUUUGGGGCUAGGGUAAGGUUUGAGGUUUUUGGUGUUAGGGUUAAAAUCACUGUCCAAAACCUUUUUAGGAACAUGUUUCAGACCUUUUGGAGUAGGUUACACCAAAAAAAAAUGUAAAAUGAAAAAAAAAUAUUUGGGGUGUUCAAGCUUCCUGAAGGUAAUACCAAGGUAUUAGGUUAUGGGGCUAUAGUAAGGUUUCAGGUUUUUGGCGUUAGGGUUAAAAUCACUGUCCAAAACCUUUGUAGAAACUAUUUUCCAACCUUUUGGAGCAAGUUAGACCAAAAAAAAAACGAAAAAUGAAAAAAAAAUAUUUGGGGUGUUCGGGCUUCCUGAAGGUAAUACCAAGGUAUUAGGUUAUGGGGCUAGGGUAAGGUUUAAGGUUUUUGGCGUUAGGGUUAAAAUCACUGUCCAAAACCUUUUUAGGAACAUGUUUCAGACCUUUUGGAGUUGGUUACACCAAAAAAAAUGUAAAAUGAAAAAGAAUUUUUUUUGGGUGUUCGGGCUUCCUGAAGGUAAUACUAGGUUUCUGGGCUAGGGUAAUGUUUUAGGUUUUUGGCGUUAGGGUUAAAAUCAAUGUCCAAAACCUUUGUAGGAACUCUUUUCCAACCUUUGAGAGCAAGUUAGACCAAAACAAAAAGAAAAAUAAAAAAUAUAUAUUUGGGGUGUUCGGGCUUCCUGAAGGUAAUACCCGGGUAUUAGGUUAUGGGGCUAGGGUAAAGUUUAAGGUUUUGUGGCGUGAGGGUAAAAAUCACUGUCCAAAACCUUUGUAGGAACUCUUUUCCAACCUUUGGGAAUAAGUUAGACAAAAAAAAUAAGAUAAAUGAAAAAAAAAUAUUUGGGGUGUUCGGGCUUCCUGAAGGUAAUACCCGGGUAUUAGGUUUUGGGGCUAGGGUUAGGUUUAAGGUUUUUGGCGUUAAGGUUAAAAUAACUGUCCAAUAUUUUUUAAGGAACAUGUUUCAGACCUUUGGGAGUUAGUUAGACAAAACAAAAAGAAAAAGAAAAAAAUAUAUAUUUGGGGUGUUCGGGUUUCCUGAAGGUAAUACCCGGGUAUUAGGUUAUGGGGCUAUAGUAAGGUUUAAGGUUUUUGGCGUUAGAGUUAAAAUCAGUGUCCAAAACCUUUUUAGGAACAUGUUUAAGACCUUUUGGAGUUGGUUACACCAAAAAAAAAUGUAAAAUGAAAAAAAAAAAUAUUUGGGGUGUUCGGGCUUCCUGAAGGUAAUACCCGUAUAUUAGGUUUUGGAGCUAGGGUAAGGUUUAAGGUUUUUGGUGUUAGGGUUAAAAUCACUGUCCAAAACCUUUGUAGGAACUCUUUUCCAACCUUUUGGAGUUGGUUGCACCAAAAAAAAAUGUAAAAUGAAGAAGAAUUUUUUUUGGGUGUUCGGGCUUCCUGAAGGUAAUACUAGGUUUCUGGGCUAGGGUAAUGUUUUAGGUUUUUGGCGUUAGGGUUAAAACCAUGUCCAAAACCUUUGUAGGAACUCUUUUCCAACCUUUGAGAGCAAGUUAGACCAAAACAAAAAGAAAAAUAAAAAAUAUAUAUUUGGGGUGUUCGGGCUUCCUGAAGGUAAUACCCGGGUAUUAGGUUAUGGGGCUAGGGAAAGGUUUAAGGUUUUUGGCGUGAGGGUAAAAAUCACUGUCCAAAACCUUUGUAGGAACUCUUUUCCAACCUUUGGGAAUAAGUUAGACAAAAAAAAUAAGAUAAAUGAAAAAAAACAUAUUUGGGGUGUUCGGGCUUCCUGAAGGUAAUACCCGGGUAUUAGGUUUUGGGGCUAGGGUUAGGUUUAAGGUUUUUGGCGUUAGGGUUAAAAUAACUGUCCAAUAUUUUUUAAGGAACAUGUUUCAGACCUUUGGGAGUUAGUUAGACAAAAAAAAAGAAAAAGAAAAAAAUAUUUAUUUGGGGUGUUCGGGUUUCCUGAAGGUAAUACCCGGGUAUUAGGUUAUGGGGCUAUAGUAAGGUUUAAGGUUUUUGGCGUUAGGG
Molecule: non-coding RNA, 6642 nt
Organism: Xyrichtys novacula (pearly razorfish)
Lineage: Eukaryota; Metazoa; Chordata; Actinopteri; Labriformes; Labridae
Source: the annotation of a GenBank genome assembly